Molecule: non-coding RNA, 213 nt
Filed under: Blautia sp.
Lineage: Bacteria; Bacillati; Bacillota; Clostridia; Lachnospirales; Lachnospiraceae
Description: T-box sequence
Rfam family: T-box leader
About the family: Uncharged tRNA acts as the effector for transcription antitermination of genes in the T-box leader family. T-boxes are found upstream of many aminoacyl-tRNA synthetase genes and some amino acid biosynthetic genes usually in Gram-positive bacteria. The anticodon of a specific tRNA base pairs to a specifier sequence within the T-box motif, and the NCCA acceptor tail of the tRNA base pairs to a conserved bulge in the T-box antiterminator hairpin.
Source: RNAcentral
AAAAAGGCGAUGAAGGGAAUAGUACACAGGUGACAAUCAACAGAGAGGAAAUCAGUGGUGGAAGAUUUCUGUGCGGAGUGUGUGGAACCGACCCCGGAGCUGUCUGUGAGUAAGCAGACCGCGACUUUGGCGUUAAAAAAGAGUGAAAGAAAGUGAGCAGUCUUCGGGCUGUUAAUUAGGGUGGUACCGCCGGAUAAGCAUCUGGUCCCUUUU